RNAcentral lists this ribosomal RNA (253 nucleotides) under uncultured bacterium. RNAcentral describes it as "partial 16S ribosomal RNA". It matches the Rfam family "Bacterial small subunit ribosomal RNA", at positions 524 to 776 of the family's 1533-position model. The record is from RNAcentral.
UACGGAAGGGGCAAGCGUUGUUCGGAAUCAUUGGGCGUAAAGGGCGCGCAGGUGGUUCUGUAUGUCUGCCGUGAAAGCAUACAGCUCAACUGUAUUGUGUCGGUAGAAACUGCAGGACUUGAGGCUGGGAGGGGCUGGUGGAAUUCCCUGUGUAGCGGUGAAAUGCGUAGAGAUGGGGGAGAACACUCGUGGCGAAGGCGGCCAGCUAGACCAGUUCUGACACUGAGGCGCGACAGCGUGGGGAGCAAACAGG